This 70-nucleotide transfer RNA is filed under the name Diapriidae sp. ZJUH_2016010. Its description in RNAcentral is "tRNA-Glu". Lineage: Eukaryota; Metazoa; Arthropoda; Insecta; Hymenoptera; Diapriidae. The record is from RNAcentral.
AUUUAUAUAAUUUAAAUUUAAAAUAUUACACUUUCAAUGUAAAAAUAAUUUUAUUAAUUAUUUAUAAAUU